RNAcentral lists this ribosomal RNA (463 nucleotides) under uncultured bacterium. Its description in RNAcentral is "partial 16S ribosomal RNA". It matches the Rfam family "Bacterial small subunit ribosomal RNA", at positions 28 to 507 of the family's 1533-position model. The record is from RNAcentral.
GAUGAACGCUGACAGAAUGCUUAACACAUGCAAGUCGAUGGGGAAGUGGUGCUUGCACCAUGGUAACCAUGGCGGACGGGUGAGUAACACGUAAGGAACUUACCUGCGGGACCGGGAUAACAGCAGGAAACUGCUGACAAGACCGGAUAAGGUCAUUAAGCUCCAUAGCUUAGUGAUGAAAGGAGACGCCUGCUGAGAGCCUUGCGUCCUAUUAGCUAGUUGGAGGGUUAACGGCCCACCAAGGCGAAGAUAGGUAGCCGGCCUGAGAGGGUGGACGGCCACAAGGGGACUGAGAUACGGCCCUUACUACUACGGGAGGAAGCAGUGGGGAAUAUUGGAGAAUGGGGGCAAACAUGAUCAAGCAAUUCUGUGUGCACGAAGACGGUUUUCGGAUUGUAAAGAGCUUUCAGCAGGGAAGAAGGAAGUGACGGUACCUGCAGAAGAAGCGACGGCUAAAUACGUG